GUUUUAAUAAUUUAAUAAAAAUUUUGGUCUUGUAAACCAAAUUUAAGGAAGACCUUUUAAAACU
RNAcentral lists this transfer RNA (64 nucleotides) under Schultesia lampyridiformis. RNAcentral's name for it is "tRNA-Thr". The record is from RNAcentral. Lineage: Eukaryota; Metazoa; Arthropoda; Insecta; Blattodea; Blaberidae.